UGGGAACUUUAAAUGGCACUGCUGCUGUUGAUCCAUAUGUCGAAAUAAUUUGGUAAUUUGGGGGGACCACAAUAUAUCAAACUCUUCUGUAACGGUACAUUCAUUAUCUUCCCACAG
Haliotis rubra (blacklip abalone) is the source of this 117-nucleotide long non-coding RNA. RefSeq lists it as uncharacterized. The transcript has 3 exons. Lineage: Eukaryota; Metazoa; Mollusca; Gastropoda; Lepetellida; Haliotidae. The record is from RefSeq and is a predicted model, not a curated record.